Molecule: ribosomal RNA, 579 nt
Filed under: uncultured bacterium
Lineage: Bacteria
Description: bacterial SSU rRNA
Rfam family: Bacterial small subunit ribosomal RNA
Source: RNAcentral
CCUACGGGAGGCAGCAGUAAGGAAUAUUGGUCAAUGGGCGCAAGCCUGAACCAGCCAUGCCGCGUGCAGGAAGACGGCCCUAUGGGUUGUAAACUGCUUUUGAACAAGAGAAAACCUCGGUACGUGUACCGAGCUGAUAGUAUUGUUAGAAUAAGCAUCGGCUAACUUCGUGCCAGCAGCCGCGGUAAGACGAAGGAUGCAAGCGUUAUCCGGAUUCAUUGGGUUUAAAGGGUGCGUAGGCGGCCUGAUAAGUCAGUGGUGAAAUCUCUCAGCUUAACUGAGAAACUGCCAUUGAUACUGUCGGGCUUGAGUACAGAUGAUGUGGGCGGAAUAUGACAUGUAGUGGUGAAAUACUUAGAUAUGUCAUAGAACACCGAUUGCGAAGGCAGCUCACAAAACUGUAACUGACGCUGAGGCACGAAAGUGCGGGGAUCAAACAGGAUUAGAUACCCUGGUAGUCCGCACCGUAAACGAUGAUUACUCGUUGUUGGCAAUAUGACCGUCAGCGACCAAGCGAAAGCGAUAAGAAUCCACCUGGGGAGUACGCCGGCAACGGUGAAACGUCAAAUGAAUUGACGG